Molecule: ribosomal RNA, 468 nt
Filed under: uncultured bacterium
Lineage: Bacteria
Description: partial 16S ribosomal RNA
Rfam family: Bacterial small subunit ribosomal RNA
Source: RNAcentral
GACGAACGCUGGCGGCGUGCUUAACACAUUCAAGUCGAACGGAAAGGCCCUGCUUUUGUGGGGUGCUCGAGUGGCGAACGGGUGAGUAACACGUGAGUAACCUGCCCUUGACUUUGGGAUAACUUCAGGAAACUGGGGCUAAUACCGGAUAGGAGCUCCUGCUGCAUGGUGGGGGUUGGAAAGUUUCGGCGGUUGGGGAUGGACUCGCGGCUUAUCAGCUUGUUGGUGGGGUAGUGGCUUACCAAGGCUUUGAAGGGUAGCCGGCCUGAGAGGGUGACCGGCCACAUUGGGACUGAGAUACGGCCCAGACUCCUACGGGAGGCAGCAGUGGGGAAUAUUGCACAAUGGGCGGAAGCCUGAUGCAGCAACGCCGCGUGCGGGAUGACGGCCUUCGGGUUGUAAACCGCUUUCGCCUGUGACGAAGCGUGAGUGACGGUAAUGGGUAAAGAAGCACCGGCUAACUACGUG